Non-coding RNA from Equus caballus (horse), 1821 nucleotides. NCBI's taxonomy places the organism in Eukaryota, Metazoa, Chordata, Mammalia, Perissodactyla, Equidae. The record is from RefSeq and is a predicted model, not a curated record.
GCGCGGGCGUGGCGGUUGCCGUUGGGGGUGACCCGUUGGGGUCGGGUGCCGGUCCUUUGGGCCGGUGACUCUGGACGCGAGCCUAGCAGGGGUUAACUGGAGGAAGUCUCCGCCGGGUGACUGGUGGCCCGCAGCUAGGAGACGUGGCGCUUUGAUAAGCUUCCCUGAGGAGAGGCCCAUAUGCUAAGAAAAUAAGGGUGGCCUCCUACCAGCAGCCAGCAAGAAAGCAACACCCUCAGUCUGACAACCCAGAAAGAACUGAAUCCUGCCAACCACCAUGUGAGUUUGGAAACAUCUUUCUCUGGUUGAGCAUCAGAUGAGACCCCAGUGCUGGCUGACACCUUCUGAGAGACCCUAAUGCAAAGCAGCCAGUUAAGCUGUGUCCAUGUUCCUGACCCACAGAAACUCCUUUUCAGAUGGGAAAAGAUCCUAAAACUAAGAAUGGCUUCCAAGCACUGACUGGAAAAGUGGCAUAGAGAAAAAACUGAAGAUGUGACUAUACAGCCUUUUGUUAAAACCUCAGAAAGAUCAAAGGAACGGAAUAUUCGGUCAAACAAAAGGACCUUGAAAGAAAUGAAGGGUGUGCCUCAAGGAACCUCUUAAUUAAACCAGAGACCUUCUAGGAAGUUUAAGGGCAUUGUUCCUCAGCAAAAUCAACAGGGCCCAAAGUAGAGAAGGUUUUACCUAGAAGAGAUUUUUGGAUGGGGUUUUUGUCCAAUGCAAUGAAUCUCAGUGAAAUUCAUAGACAGCUGACAAAACUUUUGAGAAAAUUGUAUCACCAAAAACACUGCCACUUUGGACUGAAAGGGACAGAGAGUACAAAAUGAAAAGAAGGUAUUGGACUUCCAAACUUCUACUGGCAGAAGGCAGGCUGAGAAAACUAAGCUGCAAACUGGUACUACCUUUUGUGAAAAAGAAGUGGAGACUCAGAACGUGAAACCAAGAGUCCAUAGGGUGGAGCCAAGACCCACGGAGAAUUAUUCCUAGACUUUUAAACCUAAUCAAAGAACUUCCAAUAUUUGCUGAAUUGUAUUUCAGAAUUGCUGUGGUACACUGAUGCCUUCGUACUUCCAUUUCCCCCCUUUGGGAAUGUCUAUUGUUGUUUUCUUUUGCUUGUCACAGCGUUGUAUGUUGGGUAUCCAGGAGGAAGAAAACUUGUCUCUUCACUUUCACACUUCCCCUAAAUUGUGCUCCAGGAGACAUACUUAACAAAACUACACCUAAGGAGCCUCAUCUUCACAUGGACCUAAUUUAGAUGAUGAGAUCCUAAACUUUGAGCAGAUGCUAUAAUGGGAUGAAACUCUUGAAGACCUUAGGAGAAGAUGAAUGUAUUUGGCAUAUGAAAGUGAUGUGAAUCACUGGGGACCAGAGGAUGGUCUGUGGUAGGCAUUUUCCAAGAUGGCCCUUAGUGAUCCCUGCCUUCUGAUAUUUACAGCUUUGUGUAAUUCUGUCCCCUUAAGUAACUUGCUUCUAAGAACGAACGGACUACCUCAGCAGUGAGGGAAGGUCAUUUCUGUGAUCAGAAAAAAGAUUCUGAUCUGGCUAACAGACUUUCUUCAUUGAUGGCUUUGAUGGAGCAAGUUGCCAUGUUGGAGAGGCACAUGUGGCAAGAACUGAGGGCAGCCUCUGGCCAACAGCCAGCUGAGAACUGUUCAGUCCAAAAACCCGAAAGGAACUGAAUCCUGCCAACAACCAAGUAAGUGAGAUUGGAAGUGAAUCAUUCCUCAGUUGAGCCUUCACAUGAGACCCCAGCACUGGCUCAUGCCUUGAUUUCAGCUUUGUGAGAAAUCUUAGAUAAUUAAACUGUACCUGGACUCCUGA